AUGCUGAUGUUCGUGCCGGCGCCGGAGACCGUGACCACAACUCGGGGGCAAGGUGCUGGUGUCAGCGACAUCGCCCGUGUUGGCCCCUUGAGUUUUGGACCUGCCGCGCUCUGGUUCUGGAAGCUGCCAUUCCCAUCGAGCCCCUCCAGCAGCGUUCAGUUUGGAUCUGGGUGCUUCUGGCUGUUCCUGGAGUUGAGGUUCAAGUUAACCAUGGAGAGAAGCCAAGAAGGACGAGAUUGUCAAGUCAGCGAUCGAGGUGCAGACAGACGUGAGAGACAUCUGGAUAGAUUCUUCCUUACUAGAGCCAUACGACCAAAAAAGAUGAUUGGAAAGGCUCUUUCCAAGCAUAAGAUAUAUUAA
Molecule: ribosomal RNA, 360 nt
Filed under: Triticum aestivum (bread wheat)
Lineage: Eukaryota; Viridiplantae; Streptophyta; Magnoliopsida; Poales; Poaceae
Description: partial small subunit ribosomal RNA
Source: RNAcentral